GACUCUGUAGAUUAAAAAGAUUCUUAAAUUGCAAAUUUAAAGGUACAGUUUUGUUAGAGUUU
Molecule: transfer RNA, 62 nt
Filed under: Plaxiphora albida
Lineage: Eukaryota; Metazoa; Mollusca; Polyplacophora; Chitonida; Mopaliidae
Description: tRNA-Cys
Source: RNAcentral